Molecule: long non-coding RNA, 790 nt
Filed under: Homo sapiens (human)
Lineage: Eukaryota; Metazoa; Chordata; Mammalia; Primates; Hominidae
Description: HSALNT0360267
Source: RNAcentral
ACUGCUCCCUGAGAGAGCAGGACAGGAUUUCCCUGCGCGGGGAGUGAAAGCAGAAGGCGCAGUCACGACGCGCCCCCUACUGGUCAGCGAGGAGAAAUCCCUCACCUCAGGUUUCAAUUAGUGCGGAAGAAAGAAAAAAAGAGGGUAUCAGAAACAGACCCAGAGAUGACUGGGGUCUGGGAGGAGGAAGCUGGAGAACCGGCUAAGGACAAGAAAAGAGCCAUUGGAGAGAGAAAGAGAUGAAGUGGAAGACAGUGAGUGAGGGGCUGGCAGAAGGAUUUCCCCUCUUCAAACUAGAGGAGAACUUCCUCAGCCUCCAUGCAGCCGGCCAGAUCCUAGGGCAAAGCUCUGGCUAGAGAAGGCAAGGACAGGCAAGAAAAUGUUUUAGAAAAAGACCCUUUCCAUCUGGAAUGCUUUUUCCAACUCCCUUCACACCUUCAGGCUGGCUUCUAGUUGCACCAGGAACUCUGGGCCCACGUGUGAGGUGCGGGGGCAACACUGUCCAUCGAGAGGACCUGUGGCUGCCUCCUCAUCCCUUCCACCAAGCGCAGGAUGGCACCAUUGCUGGCUUCUGCUGCCCUCUGUUGUGGUCCUGUACCUCCUCACCUGCUCAGAUGCUCCGCGGGGACUGAUGGAGCUCUUCCUGGUCUCCAGUGGUUCUUACUGGGUAGUGCUGGACAACAGAGUACCAGGAAGGCAGGGACCUGGCCAAGCGCACAUACGCAUGAGUGGAGGAAAUUUUACAAUUUUUAGGAAGCAACAAAGUAUAAAGUGGGAAUUGCACAUCUUC